CAGCAGCCGCGGUAACACCGAGGGUGCGAGCGUUAAUCGGAUUUACUGGGCGUAAAGCGUGCGUAGGCGGCUUCUUAAGUCGGAUGUGAAAUCCCUGAGCUUAACUUAGGAAUUGCAUUCGAUACUGGGAAGCUAGAGUAUGGGAGAGGAUGGUAGAAUUCCAGGUGUAGCGGUGAAAUGCGUAGAGAUCUGGAGGAAUACCGAUGGCGAAGGCAGCCAUCUGGCCUAAUACUGACGCUGAGGUACGAAAGCAUGGGGAGCAAACAGGAUUAGAGACCCCCGUAGUCCCUGUCUCUUAUAA
RNAcentral lists this ribosomal RNA (301 nucleotides) under uncultured bacterium. RNAcentral describes it as "partial 16S ribosomal RNA". It matches the Rfam family "Bacterial small subunit ribosomal RNA", at positions 509 to 809 of the family's 1533-position model. The record is from RNAcentral.